AGUGAACGCUGGCGGUAGGCCUAACACAUGCAAGUCGAACGGCAGCACAGUAAGAGCUUGCUCUUACGGGUGGCGAGUGGCGGACGGGUGAGGAAUACAUCGGAAUCUACUUUUUCGUGGGGGAUAACGUAGGGAAACUUACGCUAAUACCGCAUACGACCUACGGGUGAAAGCAGGGGAUCUUCGGACCUUGCGCGAUUGAAUGAGCCGAAGUCGGAUUAGCUUGUUGGCGGGGUAAAGGCCCACCAAGGCGACGAUCCGUAGCUGGUCUGAGAGGAUGAUCAGCCACACUGGAACUGAGACACGGUCCAGACUCCUACGGGAGGCAGCAGUGGGGAAUAUUGGACAAUGGGCGCAAGCCUGAUCCAGCCAUACCGCGUGGGUGAAGAAGGCCUUCGGGUUGUAAAGCCCUUUUGUUGGGAAAGAAAAGCGGCAGGUUAAUACCCCGCUGUUCUGACGGUACCCAAAGAAUAAGCACCGGCUAACUUCGUG
Molecule: ribosomal RNA, 492 nt
Filed under: uncultured bacterium
Lineage: Bacteria
Description: partial 16S ribosomal RNA
Rfam family: Bacterial small subunit ribosomal RNA
Source: RNAcentral